UACAGAGGUGGCAAGCGUUGUUCGGAAUUACUGGGCGUAAAGGGCGCGUAGGCGGCCAACUAAGUCAGACGUGAAAUCCCCAGGCUCAACCUGGGAACUGCGUCUGAUACUGGAUGGCUUGAAUCCGGGAGAGGGAUGCAGAAUUCCAGGUGUAGCGGUGAAAUGCGUAGAUAUCUGGAGGAAUACCGGUGGCGAAGGCGGCAUCCUGGACCGGCAUUGACGCUGAGGAGCGAAAGCCAGGGGAGCAAACGGG
Molecule: ribosomal RNA, 253 nt
Filed under: uncultured bacterium
Lineage: Bacteria
Description: partial 16S ribosomal RNA
Rfam family: Bacterial small subunit ribosomal RNA
Source: RNAcentral